GGAGAGGUGCCAGAGUGGUUGAAUGGGGCGGUCUCGAAAACCGUUGUACCGCAAGGUACCCCGGGUUCGAAUCCCGGCCUCUCCGCCA
RNAcentral lists this transfer RNA (88 nucleotides) under candidate division WOR-1 bacterium DG_54_3. RNAcentral's name for it is "tRNA-Ser". It matches the Rfam family "tRNA". Rfam says of the family: Transfer RNA (tRNA) molecules are approximately 80 nucleotides in length. Their secondary structure includes four short double-helical elements and three loops (D, anti-codon, and T loops). Lineage: Bacteria; Bacillati. The record is from RNAcentral.